GCUCGUAGUUGGAUGUUGUGGUUUGUUGUUUUCGGUGCCUUUUGGUAUCCGUUUCAGCAGCUACUUUUUCUCGAGGCAUGUAGGUGCACUUAACCGUGUGUUUAUAUUGUUCGGGACUUUUACCGUGAGAAAAUUAGAGUGUUCAUAGCAGGCUAGUGCUUGAAUAUUACAGCAUGGAAUAAUGGAAUAGGAUCAUGAUCUUAUUUUGUUGGUUUCUAAGAUCAAGAUAAUGAUUAAUAGGGAUAGUUGGGGGCAUUAAUAUUUAGUUGUCAGAGGUGAAAUUCUUAGAUUUACAAAAGAUUAACUUCUGCGAAAGCAUUUGCCAAGGAUGUUUUCGUUAAUCAAGAACGAAAGUUGAGGGAUCGAAGAUGAUCAGAUACCGUCGUAGUCUCAACCAUAAACUAUGCCGACUAGGGAUUGGUGGUCGUUAAUUAAUGUCACCAUCAGCACCUUAUGAGAAAUCAAAGUUUUUGGGUUCUGGGGGGAGUAUGGUCGCAAGGCUGAAACUUAAAGGAAUUGACGGAAGGGCACCACCAGGAGUGGAGCCUGCGGCUUAAUUUGACUCAACACGGGGAAACUCACCAGGUCCGGACAUAGUAAG
This 601-nucleotide ribosomal RNA is filed under the name uncultured eukaryote. RNAcentral describes it as "SSU rRNA". It matches the Rfam family "Eukaryotic small subunit ribosomal RNA", at positions 626 to 1237 of the family's 1831-position model. The record is from RNAcentral.